GCCCUACUUUUAAAAUGCGAGCUAGGCAAGCUAUUGCCUGGCUCUUAAGUUGAACCAUCCCCUUGAUUGUGAGUAUCAUAUCUGUCCAAUAGUGAUCACGAUAAGUAUAACUAUCUUUGAGAGUUGCAACCUAGCCAGUUUCGGGUGGCACUUCCACCAUAUAUGUGGCCAAUGUGAUCCACCAUGUACGUGGCCAAGAUGAUCAAGUUAGUGCCUGCCGAUCUCAACGACCUCGGAUUAUGCUGAGAUCAAAGGGAAUAUUUUCAAAUCAUUUGCCCCUACUCUUGAGUCUGACUAAUUGUGGAGGUUGCACAAAGGGAGUAGGAGCCACUAACCAGGGCCACCCCAAUGUCUGAGCUGAGCCAUCCGUGAUAAAUACUUUUUAAGAAGGCAUCGCAGUGGCCCAAGGUGCCGCAUGUCACGAUUCCAAUUGUCCAAACAAACCAUCUCAUUGAUUUGAGCCCCUCAUUUUCCCGAUCCAUGACAAUCUGAUUCCACCAAUCUUAAGCUACCAUGCGACAACUAUCAAUGGUGGCUAGAAGAACUAUUGCUUGAACUGACAUGGGGGUUGGCAAGGCCGAAUAUUCACCAAAACAGCUUUUUGUGCUGUGAAGUGAUUUACCUCAUAUCUUGAUCAAAGUAAAGGUCCUUCCUUUCUUGUUAGGAGAUCAGCUCGGAUUUAGCCUAUCUCUCCAAUACGAGCUCCACU
This 709-nucleotide long non-coding RNA is filed under the name Elaeis guineensis (African oil palm). Its description in RNAcentral is "long non-coding RNA (EGUI_LNC032005)". The record is from RNAcentral. Lineage: Eukaryota; Viridiplantae; Streptophyta; Magnoliopsida; Arecales; Arecaceae.